UGGGGACCUACCUCUUAGUGGGGGAUAACGGUUGGAAACGACCGCUAAUACCGCAUACGCCCUUCGGGGGAAAGAUUUAUCGCUAAGAGAUGGACCCGCGUUGGAUUAGAUAGUUGGUGAGGUAACGGCUCACCAAGUCAGCGAUCCAUAGCUGGUUUGAGAGGAUGAUCAGCCACACUGGGACUGAGACACGGCCCAGACUCCUACGGGAGGCAGCAGUGGGGAAUAUUGGACAAUGGGGGCAACCCUGAUCCAGCCAUGCCGCGUGAGUGAAGAAGGCCUUCGGGUUGUAAAGCUCUUUCAGAUGCGAAGAUGAUGACGGUAACAUCAGAAGAAGCCCCGGCUAAUUUCGUGCCAGCAGCCGCGGUAAUACGAAAGGGGCUAGCGUUGUUCGGAUUUACUGGGCGUAAAGGGCACGCAGGCGGUCUUGCC
RNAcentral lists this ribosomal RNA (432 nucleotides) under marine sediment bacterium BB0608_AND_3.2_2G0. Its description in RNAcentral is "bacterial SSU rRNA". It matches the Rfam family "Bacterial small subunit ribosomal RNA", at positions 118 to 585 of the family's 1533-position model. The record is from RNAcentral.